Vigna umbellata (rice bean) is the source of this 1001-nucleotide non-coding RNA. The record is from RefSeq and is a predicted model, not a curated record. Lineage: Eukaryota; Viridiplantae; Streptophyta; Magnoliopsida; Fabales; Fabaceae.
CCUUCCAAGUGUACUUUUGCCUUAUAUAAUAGCACAAGGUAUUUCACUUCCGGUGGGGAUUUUCUAUUCAAAUGUGAGGUCUAUAUUCAUCAUUUCAUUCUUAUUAGAAAGUGAACAUUAUAUCUAAUUUAACUUUACAAAACCAACCAAUUUAUAAGGUGAGAUUUUCAUUUACAUAUUGUAACUUAAUUAUUUCUCUAGUUGAUGUGGGAUUUGUAAUAGACCUUAAGGACCGAACAUCUUGAGUGUGGAACUAAAUGUAUUUGUGGAUAGUUAGAAAGUGGUCUCACAACGGGUGAAAUCAUAGGUCCAACAAUUUUAGUUGGGAUAUACCUUAAUACCACUAGAAAGUGGACUUUAAGUUUAACCAUGCAAAAUCGACUUAGUAAUGUGAGCUUUAACUAAGAUUUUAGUUCAUUGCUAAAUGAUAGCACAUUUUUCUUAACCCAUGUUGCUUCUGUUUAUGAACUUGCCUUAUAUGAUUAUCAAUUUCCUUGUAAUAAUUUUAUUAUAUUUGCUUCAGUGAAACUCUCUUGAUUUUCUUCCUACCCCAAGUUUUGAACUUUCUCUUGUCACUUCCCCAGCUUUCUGGCUAUAUUCCGUGUCCACGUCAUCGUCUGCCAAGGUUUGACCCUCAAACUGGACUACUGACUGGGACAAAUGAUGGGACACUCGUUAACUUCUUCCUAAGAAAUUUAGGCCGCAAAUCUGAAAAAGCACUUUGUAUUUAUCUUCUUGCUUUCCAGGCUAUAGCGUGCUGUUUCUGUUUCUUGCUAAGGUAUUUCCUUGCUGGUUGGUACAAAUAAAAGCCCGAAGUGGAUACUAAAAAAGACAUGGAUGAAAACCACUCGACAGACUGGUUUUGUUGUAUAACCAUUUUUGUAGAAAAAUUUAGUGAGAAAUAGGCAUAUAGAUUUUGGUGAACGAAUUUCUUUCAUUAUCUGAAUGUUGUGUACUAAUAUCAACUUACAGAAAUAUACCACUUGAAAAUUUUCUGGAGA